This 451-nucleotide ribosomal RNA is filed under the name uncultured bacterium. Its description in RNAcentral is "partial 16S ribosomal RNA". It matches the Rfam family "Bacterial small subunit ribosomal RNA", at positions 354 to 796 of the family's 1533-position model. The record is from RNAcentral.
GUGGGGAAUAUUGGACAAUGGGCGCAAGCCUGAUCCAGCCAUGCCGCGUGUGUGAAGAAGGCCUUUUGGUUGUAAAGCACUUUAAGCGAGGAGGAGGCUCCUUUAGUUAAUACCUAAAGAGAGUGGACGUUACUCGCAGAAUAAGCACCGGCUAACUCUGUGCCAGCAGCCGCGGUAAUACAGAGGGUGCGAGCGUUAAUCGGAUUUACUGGGCGUAAAGCGUGCGUAGGCGGCUUUUUAAGUCGGAUGUGAAAUCCCUGAGCUUAACUUAGGAAUUGCAUUCGAUACUAGAAAGCUAGAGUAUGGGAGAGGAUGGUAGAAUUCCAGGUGUAGCGGUGAAAUGCGUAGAGAUCUGGAGGAAUACCGAUGGCGAAGGCAGCCAUCUGGCCUAAUACUGACGCUGAGGUACGAAAGCAUGGGGAGCAAACAGGAUUAGAUACCCCGGUAGUCC